This 565-nucleotide long non-coding RNA is filed under the name Homo sapiens (human). RNAcentral describes it as "non-protein coding LINC01747:8". The record is from RNAcentral. Lineage: Eukaryota; Metazoa; Chordata; Mammalia; Primates; Hominidae.
CACAAUUCCCAAAUCCUUGCACUAGGUGGGGCCAGCCUCCUGUUGUGUAGACUCAUCAACUAUACCAGUCCUCUGUUCCUGGUCUCUGGAGCUUCAAUUUGGGAAAGUGACCCAUUAGCUUCUGAGGACCAGGGUGAGAGAGGGCAAACUUGAAUGCCCUUCACAAUGGAGAGAUGUGUGCAGACCGGACAGACAUCAGUUCCUUUAUCAGUGCACAGGUAGCUGCAAUGCCUGCAUGUGGAGAGAUAAAACCCAGACAAAGAGGCAGACAUGAGCAGAUGAGCUCCCCCGAACAGGAGACAAGUGGGCUGAGAGGUGAAGGAAGAGGAUGAGGGCAGCCACGAACGCUCAAUGAGACAUGACAAGUCAAGUGUGGAGCCCAGGCCCUUCACCCAGAGGAGCUCAAAAAAUAUUAGCAGCCGUUACCAUUGGAGCCUCUGCCUCCUAAACCUGCCUCAAUAUCUAUGGAGGGUGGGAGCAGAGUCACUUUUCCUCACUGGACCUCAGUUUACUCCUCAGAAAGACAGCAGUGAUGAUGCCCUCUCAAGAUAUCCUCUAACUCCAG